Molecule: ribosomal RNA, 438 nt
Filed under: uncultured bacterium
Lineage: Bacteria
Description: SSU rRNA
Rfam family: Bacterial small subunit ribosomal RNA
Source: RNAcentral
AGAAUGAACGCUAGCGAUAUGCUUAACACAUGCAAGUUGAACGUUGUUUUCGAAUCAGAAUGAGAACAAAGUAGCGAACGGGUGCGUAACACGUGGGAAUCUGCCGAACAGUUUGGGCCAAAUCCCGAAUGAAUAAAAGCUAAAAAGCGCUGUUUGAUGAGCCCACGUAGUAUUAGGUAGUUGGUUAGGUAAAAGCUGACCAAGCCUACGAUGCUUAGCUGGUCUUUUCGGAUGAUCAGCCACACUGGGACUGAGACACGGCCCAGACUCCUACGGGAGGCAGCAGUGGGGAAUCUUGGACAAUGGGCGAAAGCCUGAUCCGGCAAUAUGGCGUGAGUGAAGAAGGGCAACGCAGCUUGUAAAGCUCUUUCAUCGAGUGUGCGAUUGUGACAAGACUCGAAUAAGAAGCCCCGGCUAACCUCCGUCGCCAGCAGCCGC